AUAAAGUUUUAUUUUAGCUUAAAAAAUUUAUUAUUAAUUUAUAUUAUAUGUAAAUUUUUGUAUGAAUUUAUAUUUAUUUUAAAAAUAAUUAUAUUAUAAAAUAUUUAUUUGCAAUAAUUAAUAUUAUUAAUUAAAGAAAUUUAGAAAUAGAAAUAUUAAUUUAAUAUUGACUUAAUUUGUGCCAGCAGUUGCGGUUAUACAAAUAAUAUAAAUAAAUUUUAUUAAUAUUAGUUAAAUUGAUUUAAUUAAAAUAUAAAUAAAUUUAUUAAGUGAAAUUUUAAAUUUAUAAUAUUUUUAUUAUACAAAUAUAUUGAAGCUAGAAAUUUUUAAUUAAAAACUAGGAUUAGAUACCCUAUUAUUUAAAAUGUAAUUUAAUUUAUUUGAGUAGUAUUAGUUAUAUUCUUGAAACUUAAAAAAUUUGGCGGUAUUUUAGUCUAUUCAGAGGAACUUGUUUUUUAAUCGAUAAUCCACGAUGUACCUUACUUAAAAUUGUAAAUCAAUUUAUAUAUCGUUGUUAUUAGAAUAUUUUAUAAGAAUAAUAAUUUUCUAUAAUUUUUAUUAAAAUUAAUAUCAAAUCAAGGUGUAGUUUAUUUUUAAGUAUAAAUGAGUUACAAUAAAUUUUAUUUAUGGAUUUAAUUAUGAAAAAUUUAAUGAAAUUGGAUUUGAUAGUAAAAUUAUAAAGAUAAAUAAUUUGAUUUUAGCUCUAAAAUAUGUACAUAUCGCCCGUCACUCUUGUUAUUAAAAUAAGAUAAGUCGUAACAUAGUAGAUGUACUGGAAAGUGUAUCUAGAAUCAA
This 795-nucleotide non-coding RNA is filed under the name Scaeva affinis. Lineage: Eukaryota; Metazoa; Arthropoda; Insecta; Diptera; Syrphidae. The record is from RNAcentral.